Ooceraea biroi (clonal raider ant) is the source of this 983-nucleotide long non-coding RNA. RefSeq lists it as uncharacterized. Lineage: Eukaryota; Metazoa; Arthropoda; Insecta; Hymenoptera; Formicidae. The record is from RefSeq and is a predicted model, not a curated record.
GAUACAAGGUUCCGACUCGGAACUCCCGAAGACGUGGACGCGGUCAGUUGCGGAACGCAUCAUGGCGGUUCGCAGAGUUGUGUUUGAAGUGUUGUGCAACAUGUUUCUUGCGUUUGUUAUUGAAACGUAAAUUUGUGUUGAAUUAUCGAAAUAUAGGAAGCAUCUUGUAAUAUGUAAUUUAUUAUGAGAAUAGGAAAAGGAGACGCAGAACGCUGAGAAGUCCGAAGUUACGGAGACUCUUUCGACUAUCUUCUUCUUCCAAUGGAAGGAUCACGCGCGCUGGUAAUCGCUUCUUAUCGAUGCACGGAUAUUGAAGAAUGGAAAGGAUUGCACAGACGAAGAGAAGUGACUCCAGCGGGAUCGUAACUCAUAGUAAGAAGAAAGAUAAAGCACAAUGAAGAUAUUUUGUAUCUUCGGAAGAUAUCUACCCCGAUAGAAUCAUUACUUUCUAAAAUGAUUCACCACAGUGCGCAGCAACGUGGGAAAAAGGGACUGGACUAUUACGCCAUGCAAGAUACACAUCAUUUUUCAUACUUUAACGGCAACGUAUACGGAAAUCUCGGGAAAAAUCGAUAACAGCAUUAGAUAACUUGGAAGAAUUCAGAAAUGUUAGAAAUCGAAGCAUCCAACAACUCGUAACGGAUGUCCGGAGGGCGAGUGGCAAAUGGUGGACUGCAAAACAGAGAGAGCUCCCCAUGGGCUCGUCCUCUACAAUGGCCGUCUGCAAAAACAUUAAUCACAAGUCGCUUGGUGUUUGUGCUGUCUAUUUCCAGCCCGUCCUACGCACUUUGUCAUCGAUAGAUUGUCGACAAACAUUUUCCAGCUUAUGGCGAUUCGCAGAUUUAAAUCGGAGAUAGAUCGAAGUGAGAAGCGAACAGUCAAAUAUUGAUCGGUAGUUGCAGAUUUAUGCUAUAAUUAUAUAUGAUAUAUGAUAAGCUAUAAAUUUAAAAAUUACAAAGCUCAAAUGUAAAGUAUAUCAUAAA